This is a long non-coding RNA of Cannabis sativa, 366 nucleotides long. RefSeq lists it as uncharacterized. The record is from RefSeq and is a predicted model, not a curated record. Lineage: Eukaryota; Viridiplantae; Streptophyta; Magnoliopsida; Rosales; Cannabaceae. The transcript is spliced from 2 exons.
UUAUUUUCUCUCUGUGGAAAUGCUAGAGCACUGCGACAAAGGAAAUCAAAAGGAAACCAUUAUUUUUGGCAGGAGUAACAAUUUUUACUUAUCCUCAUACGCCAACAAUUUCGGAAUCAAUUUUAAGAUAGACCGCUUAGGUGAUCUUCGCAUGGCACGGUAGAUGAAGAGCUUCACCAAAUUGACCUUUAUUGUUUUGAAGUGAUGAUGAACAACAUUAAUGAUUAGUUUAUGCAUUUUGUAAACUUAGUUAAUGUAAUUAUUUAGUUGGAUAGUAUGAGUAUUAGUUAGUUUGUUUAAUGGAUAUUGUAAUUAUAUAUUAAUUUUAAAUUUGAUUUAUAUUUAAAUUAGAUAAUUGGUUUUUAA